CAGUCAGAGAGGAACAGGUGAUAUGAGAGGCACCUCAAAUCCACCUGACAUAGGCAGCUUCAGUGAGCUUCUGCCAGAACACAGGCCCCUAGAGCCCUCUAUUCUCUUCAGGCCUCUUGGCUGACUCUGCACACCCUGAGCCCUUGGCUUCCUGGAUUUCUACUGGAGCCUUAAAACUCCACGUGUCCAAACCUCCUUUCCUGCCCCAGGGGGCUCCUCCUCCUGCUUUGCCUCUCUCUGCUCCUGGAGCCCUGCCAUUGUCUAAGCAAGAAGCCUGCAAGCAAAGCACAUGGCGUAAAUAGAUGCCCCGUGAUUACAGACAGAGACGCAGUCAAGGGGAACUCUGGAAAGCAGAUGAUGCCACCGCCGGCCUCCAUUCUGCAGCUGUGGGGCAGUGGGAAGGGCUGGUUCUGUCAGUUUGCUUUCAAGGUGUUCCCUUCAUCAGUUCUUCCUUACUCCCUCCUUUCUUAGCCUGUGCUGCAGACGUCACUCACAAGGGUUAGCCAUUGUGAGGUUGGCCAUUGAGGUUGAAAGAAGUUGUUAACUUUUGGCCUUCAGUGGGACUGCGGGAAAGAGGCAGCUUGGAGACUGGCCCUAAAUAACAUGCUACAGAAGUUAAGGCUUGAUGCCAGCUCUCUCCCGGGGUCCCUGGACAUCUACCUUGGCUAUGGCUAAGCAACCGUGGGGAAAGAUUAAAGCAAGAGCCCAGUC
Long non-coding RNA from Psammomys obesus (fat sand rat), 711 nucleotides. RefSeq lists it as uncharacterized. NCBI's taxonomy places the organism in Eukaryota, Metazoa, Chordata, Mammalia, Rodentia, Muridae. The record is from RefSeq and is a predicted model, not a curated record. The transcript is spliced from 3 exons.